This 253-nucleotide ribosomal RNA is filed under the name uncultured bacterium. RNAcentral describes it as "partial 16S ribosomal RNA". It matches the Rfam family "Bacterial small subunit ribosomal RNA", at positions 524 to 776 of the family's 1533-position model. The record is from RNAcentral.
UACGUAGGGCGCAAGCGUUGUCCGGAAUUAUUGGGCGUAAAGAGCUCGUAGGCGGCUUGUCACGUCGAUUGUGAAAGCCCGAGGCUUAACCUCGGGUCUGCAGUCGAUACGGGCUAGCUAGAGUGUGGUAGGGGAGAUCGGAAUUCCUGGUGUAGCGGUGAAAUGCGCAGAUAUCAGGAGGAACACCAGUGGCGAAGGCGGCACUCUGGGCCGGUACUGACGCUGAGGAGCGAAAGCGUGGGGAGCGAACAGG